RNAcentral lists this long non-coding RNA (511 nucleotides) under Heterocephalus glaber (naked mole-rat). Its description in RNAcentral is "lncRNA (ENSHGLG00100050245.1)". Lineage: Eukaryota; Metazoa; Chordata; Mammalia; Rodentia; Bathyergidae. The record is from RNAcentral.
CAGUUCCUUCUGGGAGCACUUUGGGGAACUUCUACUUUGUAUAGAAAUAUUUUGGUAUGGUUUGCAUUUUUACAAUGAGAAGAUAAUAUUUUUGAAAUACUAUAAAGCAGAUGAAAAACAUUCAAAACAACCUAUUUGAAGCAGAUCUUGUGAACUAUACAAGGAUUUGUACACUUUUUGUCAGGUGUUCGCUAGAGAAGCAGUACAGAAGUGUGGAUAGUGUGUCAGCCUUGAAAUUACAUUCUGGGUUUAAAGCCUGGUGUCUCUUACCAACUCAUAAGACUGAGGAUUAACUCGAUGGAUUCUGGCGUAGUCACCCUAAAUCCCAUCUUGUUCACCCUGGUCUCCAGGUGCUUCCACCAGUCUCUAGAACCUACCAAGAGCGCAGCUGAUGAAGUCAUCCCCUGGCCUACAUAUAAGUUGGGGACAGGGGUGUCUCAGAGAGGCAAAAUAUAAUGAGCACUGGAAUCUAUGUGAUCUUAAUUUAUCCAACCUCUGCAGAACUCUGUUC